Non-coding RNA from Triticum urartu, 938 nucleotides. Lineage: Eukaryota; Viridiplantae; Streptophyta; Magnoliopsida; Poales; Poaceae. The record is from RefSeq and is a predicted model, not a curated record.
GCCAAGUACUGAUUUGUGAUUUGUGACAAGUACUGAUUUGUGACAAGUAUAUAUACAAACUGAAGAUAGUUCCAUCAGUAUAUAUAAAAACUGAAGAUAGUCAACUAAGUGCAUAUAAGUGCAUACUGGAUUCCAUAUCAAUUAUGUACCACAGUUAUUUUAACAAGCUCUUGAUAAUUAAAAAAAAGGAACACUAUGGAGCAUGUACUCCCUCUGUUCCAAAUUACUCGUCGCAGAAAUUGAUGUAUCUAGAACUAAAAUACAUCUAGAUACAUCCAUACAUGCGACAAGUAAUUCGGAACGGAGGGAGUAUAUAGCAAAUUAUCCUCUCUGAGCCAUGUUCUUGGUACAGAUUACUUCGGUAGAACGUCAGAUAAAUUAUAGCCGGGGUUAGGAUACCUCUCGAGAAGCAGUAUAUGCCUCGCUAGCACACAAGAACAGUCAGUUCCAUGUAUGAAUCGGACGAACAGUUGGGGCUAUGUCACACCACCAAUCGAACAGUUGUAUAGUUAACCCAGUCUCUUCCCGCAUUAGUUUAACCAGAAGUGAACUGUGUACAGGUUACUAACCUGUGUCUCGCUCGCAGCCGCGCCAGGACCCUUGUCUCGCUCGCAGCCGCGCCGGCACCGUGGAUCGCUGGAAGCCAGGCCGGCACCCGUGUCUAGCUGGCAGCCGCGCCCGGCACCGGGGGCAAAGUUUGAAGAAACAGGCCUCGCACACCUGAUCCGACGGCAAACUUUGAAGAAACAGUUCAAAUCCACAUGAUCCGAACGCAAACCAGGAAGCAUGGAGAAUCAGGCCUUGCUCGCCCCGCUCGGAAGAUAGGAUUUGGAAAUUGUUUGUUGUAUAUGGAAAGAGCAAAAAUAUUAGAUUAAACUGUUGUUUAUGGAAGCUUCUCGUGACGGAAUUUUCCGAUAUGGUUCCAUAUGAUUUGAUUU